CCUACGGGAGGCAGCAGUAGGGAAUAUUGCUCAAUGGGGGAAAGCCUGAAGCAGCAAAGCCGCGUGGAGGAUGAAGGUUUUAGGAGUGUAAACUCCUUUUGGUAGAGAAGAUUAUGACGGUAUCUAACGAAUAAGCACCGGCUAACUCCGUGCCAGCAGCCGCGGUAAUACGGAGGGUGCAAGCGUUACUCGGAAUCACUGGGGGAAAAGGGUGCGUAGGCGGGGUAAUAAGUCAGAGGUGAAAUCUGGUAGCUUAACUACAGAACGGCAUUGAAAAUGGUGCUUCUGAGGGGGGGAGGGGUAUGUGGAAUUCGUGGUGUAGGGGUAAAAUGCGUAGAGAUCAAGAGGAAUACUCAUUGCGAAGGC
RNAcentral lists this ribosomal RNA (366 nucleotides) under uncultured bacterium. RNAcentral's name for it is "partial 16S ribosomal RNA". It matches the Rfam family "Bacterial small subunit ribosomal RNA", at positions 338 to 722 of the family's 1533-position model. The record is from RNAcentral.